Molecule: ribosomal RNA, 228 nt
Filed under: uncultured eukaryote
Lineage: Eukaryota
Description: partial 18S ribosomal RNA
Source: RNAcentral
UCGUGGAGUGAUUUGUCUGCUUAAUUGCGUUUCGCAAGAGACAAAAAACGUUCAGUUUGUAUUGUUUGUUUGUUGUUUGCAUUUUUAUGCAUCAUCAACAUCAAUCAUUCUGACAAAAAAUGUUUCGAAGGCAACGAACGUGACCGCAUCCCAUUGUUGCCUCUCCGUUGUAGAUGCUUUAAAACCAUUUGCAACGCUAACAUUGAAUGUCAUUAUCGUUCAUUUACG